GAUGAACGCUGGCGGCGUGCCUAAUACAUGCAAGUCGAGCGAACGGACGAGAAGCUUGCUUCUCUGAUGUUAGCGGCGGACGGGUGAGUAACACGUGGAUAACCUACCUAUAAGACUGGGAUAACUUCGGGAAACCGGAGCUAAUACCGGAUAAUAUUUUGAACCGCAUGGUUCAAAAGUAAAAGACGGUCUUGCUGUCACUUAUAGAUGGAUCCGCGCUGCAUUAGCUAGUUGGUAAGGUAACGGCUUACCAAGGCAACGAUGCAUAGCCGACCUGAGAGGGUGAUCGGCCACACUGGAACUGAGACACGGUCCAGACUCCUACGGGAGGCAGCAGUAGGGAAUCUUCCGCAAAGGGCGAAAGCCUGACGGAGCAACGCCGCGUGAGUGAUGAAGGUCUUCGGAUCGUAAAACUCUGUUAUUAGGGAAGAACAUAUGUGUAAGUAACUGUGCACGUCUUGACGGUACCUAAUCAGAAAGCCACGGCUAACUACGUG
Molecule: ribosomal RNA, 497 nt
Filed under: uncultured bacterium
Lineage: Bacteria
Description: partial 16S ribosomal RNA
Rfam family: Bacterial small subunit ribosomal RNA
Source: RNAcentral